AAAAAGGGUGCUCGCUACUUCUAUAGCGCGUCAGUACGGUCCACGCCGUGCUGGCGGGGUAUGGCCUAUCAAGACAUACCCAGUACGUAAUUUUUGUAAACGCGGGGCUGUUGGCUGCCAAUCUUUGCACCGACGCCUCC
Molecule: small nuclear RNA, 140 nt
Organism: Ceratina calcarata
Lineage: Eukaryota; Metazoa; Arthropoda; Insecta; Hymenoptera; Apidae
Product: U11 spliceosomal RNA
Exons: 1
Source: RefSeq, a predicted model, not a curated record